Nannospalax galili (Upper Galilee mountains blind mole rat) is the source of this 960-nucleotide long non-coding RNA. RefSeq lists it as uncharacterized. NCBI's taxonomy places the organism in Eukaryota, Metazoa, Chordata, Mammalia, Rodentia, Spalacidae. The transcript has 4 exons. The record is from RefSeq and is a predicted model, not a curated record.
GGGCAGAUCAAACAGAGUGGGAAAGGGAAAAUUUAGUGGAACAGAUGUUUAGUGUUUGUUGUCAGCUUGACUAGAAUUUAUAUGAACUGAGAGAUACACUUUUGAGUGUGAGAAUAUUUUCCUGCAAGGACUGAGUGGGAAAUAUCUUCUCAGAUGUGUAAGAAGGCUUGAGGGAAAAGCAUUGUUUCUGCCUGCCUGCCUUUGUUCCUUGCUGGUGAGUGCUCGUCCUCCUCCUCCUUCUCCUCCUCCUCCUCCUGCGUCUCCUCUUCCUCCUCCUCCUCCUUCUUCUGAUAUCCUUCAUCGGCUGUGGAACCCAGCUUCUUUGGCCUUCCAAUAUGGACUAAAGACCAGUGGCUCUCCUGGAUUCCUCCAGCUUGAGACUGAAACUGCUGAGAAACCCAGUAUUGUGGGCUAAGCAGCAAUCAGCUCCUCAACUUCUUCCGAAUGCAGGUGGCUAUUGUUCAACUACCCAGGCUGCGUCACGUAAGACAAUCUAAUUGUGCCUCCAAAUGUCCUUUAUUGUGGGUCCAUCCACUGGAGCCUGGUUAACAUACAAUCACUUCAUUGAAAGAGAAUCCCAGCAGGCAGACACAGACUUCUUGUGAUCAGGAAAGAUGGAAGGACUGCUGCCCUUCUCUUGCUGCUGUCAAGAGUUUGUCCCGCAUUAUUUCAAUGCUCAAGUAGUCCGGCAACUUAAGAUAGUUCACACAAGUCAUUACAGAGGGAAAUCUGCAUCUAAUCUGAACAAUGCUGCUCAGAGAAUUCAGAUGUCUUCUGCAGAUUAAGUGCGUGGAGGUAUUCCUUUCUCUGAUACUCUUGAAACUCACCUACCAAACGCCACAUUUAGCAACAACUGAAGAAUUAUAACUUAUAUCUCAAGCUAUCAACCUGGUGGGUGAUUGGAAUAAAUAGUUCCUGUUUUCUCUUCCUUUUAUGGUACAUUUCAAAAGAUACUGCUGU